AUCUUAUCAAGAGUGGCGGAGGGACUGGCCCAUCGAAGCCCGGCAACCGGUAUAUAUCAUACACGGUGCUAAUUCCAGCAGAGUAUCGGCUCUGGCAGAUAAGGA
This 105-nucleotide non-coding RNA is filed under the name Bacillus sp. (in: firmicutes). RNAcentral's name for it is "Bacillus sp. SAM-I sequence". It matches the Rfam family "SAM riboswitch aptamer (S box leader)". Rfam says of the family: The SAM riboswitch is found upstream of a number of genes which code for proteins involved in methionine or cysteine biosynthesis in Gram-positive bacteria. The SAM riboswitch acts at the level of transcription termination control. The predicted structure consists of a complex stem-loop region followed by a single stem loop terminator region. The record is from RNAcentral. Lineage: Bacteria; Bacillati; Bacillota; Bacilli; Caryophanales; Bacillaceae. RNAcentral also lists the same sequence under 1 other name.